Molecule: ribosomal RNA, 473 nt
Filed under: Proasellus sp. n. Aquerreta
Lineage: Eukaryota; Metazoa; Arthropoda; Malacostraca; Isopoda; Asellidae
Description: partial 16S ribosomal RNA
Rfam family: Bacterial large subunit ribosomal RNA
Source: RNAcentral
CUCUUGGGGUAAUUUCAAGUAACCUCUGCCCUAUGAGUAGUUUAAAUGGCCGCAGUAUUUUGACUGUGCAAAGGUAGCAUAAUCACUUGUCUUUUAAUUGGAGGCUGGAAUGAAGGAGGCGACGAAAUUUAGACUAUUGGUUUGUAAGGUGAAAUUAACAUAAAGGUUAAAAGGCUUUUAUAAAUCAAAGGGACGAUAAGACCCUAUAAAACUUCACUAUAAAUUAGAUUACUCAGGUGAAAUUUAGAUUUAUAGUUUAACUGGGGCGGUUUAAAUAAAAACAAUUACAGUAAAAAUAUAUUAAAUAAAAACUAAGAACUCCAAUGUGAAAUAAACAAGUUACUUUAGGGAUAACAGCAUAAUUCUCCCAGAGAGUCCUAAUUGGCGGGGGAGUUUAUGACCUCGAUGUUGAAUUGGGGUGUCUGGUAUAAGUAGAAAUAUAUCAAGAUAGUCUGUUCGACUAUUAAAUUCCC